UACGGAGGGGGCUAGCGUUGUUCGGAAUUACUGGGCGUAAAGCGCACGUAGGCGGCUUUGUAAGUUAGAGGUGAAAGACUGGAGCUCAACUCCAGAAUUGCCUUUAAGACUGCAUUGCUGGAAUCCAGGAGAGGGAAGUGGAAUUCCGAGUGUAGAGGUGAAAUUCGUAGAUACUCGGAAGAACACCAGUGGCGAAGGCGGCUCACUGGACUGGUAUUGACGCUGAGGUGCGAAAGCGUGGGGAGCAAACAGG
Molecule: ribosomal RNA, 253 nt
Filed under: uncultured bacterium
Lineage: Bacteria
Description: partial 16S ribosomal RNA
Rfam family: Bacterial small subunit ribosomal RNA
Source: RNAcentral